UAGGGAAUCUUCGGCAAUGGGGGGAACCCUGACCGAGCAACGCCGCGUGAGUGAAGAAGGUUUUCGGAUCGUAAAGCUCUGUUGUUAAGGAAGAACGAGUGUGAGAAUGGAAAGUUCAUACUGUGACGGUACUUAACCAGAAAGGGACGGCUAACUACGUGCCAGCAGCCGCGGUAAUACGUAGGUCCCGAGCGUUGUCCGGAUUUAUUGGGCGUAAAGCGAGCGCAGGCGGUUAGAUAAGUCUGAAGUUAAAGGCAGUGGCUCAACCAUUGUAGGCUUUGGAAACUGUUUAACUUGAGUGCAGAAGGGGUGAGUGGAAUUCCAUGUGUAGCGGUGAAAUGCGUAGAUAUAUGGAGGAACACCGGUGGCGAAAGCGGCUCUCUGGUCUGUAACUGACGCUGAGGCUCGAAAGCGUGGGGAGCGAACAGG
Molecule: ribosomal RNA, 429 nt
Filed under: Bacteroidota bacterium
Lineage: Bacteria; Pseudomonadati; Bacteroidota
Description: Bacteroidetes bacterium partial 16S ribosomal RNA
Rfam family: Bacterial small subunit ribosomal RNA
Source: RNAcentral